UCAAGCGAACAAGGGCGCAGGGCGAAUGCCUUGGCACUGGGAGCCGAUGAAAGACGUGAUAAGCUGCGAUAAGCUUCGGGGAGCUGCAAAUAAGCAUUGAUCCGGAGAUUUCUGAAUGAGGAAACUCACCUGGGUUCAUACUCAGGUACGUUAUACUGAACUUCAAAAUAGGUAUAUCGAGGGAACCGCCUGAACUGAAACAUCUAAGUAGGGCGAGGAAGAGACAUCAAACGAGAUUCCGUAAGUAGUGGCGAGCGAACGCGGAAGAGGGCAAACCGGGAGUCGAAAGACUUCCGGGGUACGGACUGCAUUUAAGACUUGAGUUGUUAACCGAACGGCAUGGGAAGGCCGGUCAGAGAGUGUGAGAACCACGUAGGUGAAAACGACAAGAGCUGAGCAAGUUCCAGAGUACGGCCAGACACGUGAAACCUGGUCGGAAGAUGGGGGGACCACCCUCCAACCCUAAAUACUACCCAGUGACCGAUAGCGUAUAGUACUGUGAAGGAAAGGUGAAAAGCACCCCGGGAGGGGAGUGAAAAAGAACCUGAAACCCUGUGCCUACAAGCACCUAGAGCGCGUCAAAGCGUGAUAGGGUACUUUUUGUAGAACGGUCCGGCGAGCGAUUGUAUGCAGCAAGGUUAAGGACUUAAGGUCUGGAGCCGAAGCGAAAGCGAGUUUGAAAAGGGCGUUAAGUUGCAUAUAAUGGGCCCGAAACCGGGUGACCUACCCAUGGUCAGGUUGAAGUGGAAGUAAAAUUCCAUGGAGGACCGAACCGACCUCCGUUGAAAAGGCGGCGGAUGAACUGUGGGUAGCGGAGAAAUUCCAAUCGAACCCGGAGAUAGCUGGUUCUCCCCGAAAUAGUUUUAGGACUAGCCUCAAGUUAGAUACCUGGAGGUAAAGCACUGAAUAGCCUAGCGGCCGAGAGGUUAGCGAAGCUUAUCAAACUCAGAAUGCCAGAGUAUUGAUGCUUGGGAGUCAGACAGUGUCAGAUAAAUGUCAUUGUCAAAAGGGAAACAGCCCAGAUCUACAGCUAAGGUCCCAAAGUCAGGUUAAGUGGAAAACGAUGUGAAGAUACGCAGACAACCAGGAUGUUGGCUCAGAAGCAGCCACUCAUUCAAAGAGUGCGUAAUAGCUCACUGGUCGAGCGUCUUUGCGCGGAGAAUUUAACGGGGCUAAACCUGACACCGAAGCUUAGGCAAUCCAGCAAUGUAUUGGGUAGGGGAGCGUUGUAUACGCGGUGAAACAGUAGCGCAAGCGGCUGUGGAGUGUAUAGAAGUGAGAAUGCCGGAAUGAGUAGCGCGAAUGCAGUGAGAAUCUGCAUGGCCGAAAGCCUCAGGUUUUUGGAGGAAGGUUCGUCCGCUCCAAGUUAGUCGGGAGCUAAGGUGAGGCCGGAAGGCGUAGCCGAUGCACAGACGGUAGAGAUUCCGUCACCACCAAAAGAGUUAAGCACAGGGACACAUAAGAAGUCUCAGAGCCGGGUGUUGGUUCCGGUAGAGAUCGAGGGAAAAUAGUACCGAAGUCUGGGAUGGAAGAUGGCGAGAAAAGCUGUGUGGAUUUCUGAGGUGCCCGUACCGCAAACCGACACAGGUAGGUAGGAAGAAGAUUCUAAGGCCAACGGGAGAAGGGUUGUUAAGGAACUCGGCAAAUUGACCCCGUAACUUCGGGAGAAGGGGUGCUCCAGAGAUGGAGCCGCAGAGAAUCGGCCCAAGCAACUGUUUACCAAAAACACAGGUUUGUGCUAAAUCGAAAGAUGACGUAUACGAGCUGACGCCUGCCCGGUGCUGGAAGGUUAAGAGGAGAUGUGCAAGCAUUGAAUCGAAGCCCCAGUGAACGGCGGCCGUAACUAUAACGGUCCUAAGGUAGCGAAAUUCCUUGUCAGGUAAGUUCUGACCCGC
Molecule: ribosomal RNA, 1895 nt
Filed under: human gut metagenome
Description: bacterial LSU rRNA
Rfam family: Bacterial large subunit ribosomal RNA
Source: RNAcentral